AGUCUGGUGCCAGCAGCCGCGGUAAUUCCAGCUCCAAUAGCGUAUAUUAAAGUUGUUGCGGUUAAAAAGCUCGUAGUUGGAUCUCGGUUUCACUCAGGUGGUACACCUUGCGGUGUUCACUAUCUGGGUGGACGUUUCUGUUGGUUCGCUCUUGGUGCUCUUCAUCGGGUGCCAUUUGGUGGCCAGCACGUUACUUUGAAAAAAUUGGAGUGCUCAAAGCAGGCGUUACAGCCUGAACAUUAGUGCAUGGAAUAAUGGAAUAGGAUCUCGAUUCUAUUUCGUUGGCUUUCGGAGUCGAGGUAAUGAUUAAUAGGGACAGACGGGGGCAUUCGUACUGCGACGUUAGAGGUGAAAUUCUUGGAUCGUCGCAAGACGAACUACUGCGAAAGCAUUUGCCAAGAAUGUUUUCAUUAAUCAAGAACGAAAGUUAGAGGUUCGAAGGCGAUCAGAUACCGCCCUAGUUCUAACCAUAAACGAUGCCAACCUGCGAUCCGUCGUCGUUAAUUGAAUGACUCGACGGGCAGCCUCCGGGAAACCAGAGUGUUUGGGUUCCGGGGGAAGUAUGGUUGCAAAGCUGAAACUUAAAGGAAUUGACGGAAGGGCACCACCAGGAGUGGAGCCUGCGGCUUAAUUUGACCCAACACGGGAAAUCUCACCAGGCCCGGACACCGGAAGGAUUGACAGAUUGAGAGCUCUUUCUUGAUUCGGUGGGUGGUGGUGCAUGGCCGUUCUUAGUUGGUGGAGCGAUUUGUCUGGUUAAUUCCGAUAACGAACGAGACUCUGGCCUACUAACUAGAAGGUCUAUCCUUUAUGGGUAGGCCUCUGCUUCUUAGAGGGACGGGCGGCGUUUAGCCGCACGAGAAUGAGCAAUAACAGGUCUGUGAUGCCCUUAGAUGUUCUGGGCUGCACGCGCGCUACACUGAAGGAAUCAGCAUGUUCUCCCCUCCCUGAAAAGGGCGGGUAACCCGUUGAAACUCCUUCGUGAUGGGGAUUGGAGAUUGUAAUUAUUCUCCAUGAACGAGGAAUUCCCAGUAGGCGCGAGUCAUCAGCUUGCGUCGAUUACGUCCCUGCCCUUUGUACACACCGCCCGUCGCUACUACCGAUCGAGUGAUUUAGUGAGGACUUCGGACUGGUCUUCAAGUUGGCUUCGGUCGGCUCGAAGUUCCGGAAAGAUGCCCAAACUUGAUCACUUAGA
This 1195-nucleotide ribosomal RNA is filed under the name metagenome. RNAcentral's name for it is "SSU rRNA". It matches the Rfam family "Eukaryotic small subunit ribosomal RNA", at positions 558 to 1777 of the family's 1831-position model. The record is from RNAcentral.